CCCCGGGAGCCCCACGGCCGCCGCCGCAGGGGACCAGCCGACGCUACGGCGGGAGUCAGCGGCCGGCCACGGCCCUUCUUUCCCUGGAUCCGCAGCCGCAAGUCCUCACCUCCCUGGCUCACCUCCGUGCUGCUGCGACGGCCACAGCCUCCGGACGCGGCUCCGCGGCGGCCCGCACGCCCUCCGCGCUCAGCCCUCGCACACCACGUUCCUGCUCUCCACACUGCGCACGCUCACCCCCACACUCACGCACCGCACAACACACGCCUCACCCUCACACUGACUUACCUGCACGCGUCCGCUGCACGCACUCACCCCCCUGCACUCCCUACACGCACCACCCUGUGGGAACACACUCUCACACCACACACACUCACCCCUGUGCACUCCCUCACACAACCACACCCUCCUCACACACGCACUCGCGUGGGAACACACUCACACAUCCACACACACCGCGUGCACUCCCUCACACACACCACCCACACCCUCCUCACACACGCAAUCGUGUGGGAACACACAAUCACACAUCCACACACACUCCCCUGUGCACUCCCUCACACACACCACCCACACCCUCCUCACACACGCACUCCUGCUGUAACACACUCUCACACAUCCACACACACUCCCCCUGUGCACUCCCUCACACACACCACCCACACCCUCCUCACACACGCACUCGCGUGGGAACACACAAUCACACAUCCACACACACUCCCCCUGUGCACUCCCUCACACACACCACCCACACCCUCCUCACACACGCAAUCGUGUGGGAACACACUCUCACACAUCCACACACACCGCGUGCAUUCCCUCACACACACCACCCACACCCUCCUCACACACGCAAUCGUGUGGGAACACACUCUCACACAUCCACACACACCGCGUGCAUUCCCUCACACACGCCACCCACACCCUCCUCACACACGCACUCGCGUGGGAACACACUCACACAUCCACACACACCGCGUGCACUCCCUCACACACACCACGCCACACCCUCCUCACACACGCAAUCGUGUGGGAACACACUCUCACACAUCCACACACACCGCGUGCAUUCCCUCACACACACCACCCACACCCUCCUCACACACGCACUCGCGUGGGAACACACAAUCACACAUCCACACACACUCCCCCUGUGCACUCCCUCACACACACCACCCACACCCUCCUCACACACGCAAUCGUGUGGGAACACACUCUCACACAUCCACACACACCGCGUGCAUUCCCUCACACACACCACCCACACCCUCCUCACACACGCAAUCGUGUGGGAACACACUCUCACACAUCCACACACACCGCGUGCACUCCCUCACACACACCACCCACACCCUCCUCACACACGCAAUCGUGUGGGAACACACUCUCACACAUCCACACACACCGCGUGCAUUCCCUCACACACGCCACCCACACCCUCCUCACACACGCAAUCGUGUGGGAACACACUCUCACACAUCCACACACACCGCGUGCAUUCCCUCACACACACCACCCACACCCUCCUCACACACGCAAUCGUGUGGGAACACACUCUCACACAUCCACACACACCGCGUGCAUUCCCUCACACACGCCACCCACACCCUCCUCACACACGCACUCGCGUGGGAACACACUCACACAUCCACACACACCGCGUGCACUCCCUCACACACACCACGCCACACCCUCCUCACACACGCAAUCGUGUGGGAACACACUCUCACACAUCCACACACACCGCGUGCAUUCCCUCACACACACCACCCACACCCUCCUCACACACGCACUCGCGUGGGAACACACAAUCACACAUCCACACACACUCCCCCUGUGCACUCCCUCACACACACCACCCACACCCUCCUCACACACGCAAUCGUGUGGGAACACACUCUCACACAUCCACACACACCGCGUGCAUUCCCUCACACACACCACCCACACCCUCCUCACACACGCAAUCGUGUGGGAACACACUCUCACACAUCCACACACACCGCGUGCACUCCCUCACACACACCACCCACACCCUCCUCACACACGCAAUCGUGUGGGAACACACUCUCACACAUCCACACACACCGCGUGCAUUCCCUCACACACGCCACCCACACCCUCCUCACACACGCAAUCGUGUGGGAACACACUCUCACACAUCCACACACACCGCGUGCAUUCCCUCACACACACCACCCACACCCUCCUCACACACGCAAUCGUGUGGGAACACACUCUCACACAUCCACACACACCGCGUGCAUUCCCUCACACACGCCACCCACACCCUCCUCACACACGCACUCGCGUGGGAACACACUCUCACACAUCCACACACACCGCGUGCACUCCCUCACACACACCACGCCACACCCUCCUCACACACGCACUCCUGCUGUAACACACUCUCACACAUCCACACACACUCACCCCUGUGCACUCCCUCACACACACCACACCCUCCGCACACAUGCACUCGUGUGGGAACACACAAUCACACAUCCACACACAACCCUGUGCACUCCCUCACACACACCACACCCUCCUCACACACGCACUCCUGAGGUAACACACUCUCACACAUCCACACACACCGCGUGCAUUCCCUCACACACACCACCCACACCCUCCUCACACACGCACUCGCGUGGGAACACACUCUCACACAUCCACACACACUCACCCCUGUGCACUCCCUCACACACACCACACCUUCCUCAGACACGCACUCGCGUGGGAACACACACAUCCACACACACUCAUCCCUGUGCACUCCCUUUUACUCAUCCACACAUCUCACCACUCACUCACAUGUGA
This 2820-nucleotide long non-coding RNA is filed under the name Canis lupus familiaris (dog). Its description in RNAcentral is "lncRNA (ENSCAFG00040002404.1)". Lineage: Eukaryota; Metazoa; Chordata; Mammalia; Carnivora; Canidae. The record is from RNAcentral.